Long non-coding RNA from Esox lucius (northern pike), 1036 nucleotides. NCBI's taxonomy places the organism in Eukaryota, Metazoa, Chordata, Actinopteri, Esociformes, Esocidae. The record is from Ensembl.
GUUUAAAUCCUGACUGGCUGAUCUAUGGUAUUUAUGGUAUUUGACACCGUAUUCCAUGGAUAUGACAUCAUAUCAUCUUAUCCCAUUGGUAACUGAUUUAUAAGAACAUUAAGGCAUCUCAGGGUUUUGUGAUAAAUUACCAAUAUACCACGGCUAGGUGCUGAGUCCGGUCACUCAGUGAUGUGUUGCACUAAGUACAGAUCUUAGCCGUGGUAUAUUGGCCUUUAUCGUGCCUUACUCACUGUUCCCUUCAGUCCUUAACCUAAAACAUAACAAAGGCCCAGGACUUUGUUGAGCUUAAGUUUGUGCCUAACCCUUUUUUUAUGUAAAAAGUAAUAUCUGAAUAUUUUAUUAGCUCUUACUUGUUUUUUGUUUAUCCCCCUGACACAACACGCCAGCUGGUUGUCUGAAAAACAGAGGACGUCUGGCAGAAGUGGCUUAAACUCGACACUCUACCAGGCACAUACAGAUCCCUCCCUGUCUUACAAUCUCCAGAUGUCAUGGACCGCCUCCUACUGGGGCUGCAGAAGAGCAACAGAGAACAAGUUGCUAGUUGCACUGUUGGCACUCCACCAGGGUGAAAAUGUAACGUUCACAUGCUCACUACAUGUGACCUUAUGUCUUGGUCAAAGCCUACAGUGUUUUGUGAAUUAGCUGCAAUCACAGAAAUGUGUCGUGACUCACAGCAUUUUGAAUAGCAUUUGUUUAGGAAGAGUAAACGCUGUUAAUAAUGCUCCUGUUGUCUUUUUCCAGGCCAGAUGGUGUGAAAAUAUUUUAAAUAAACCUUGUUACGUGAAAAAAAAUCACAAAGGUUUUGCUAGUACAUUUCAUGUUCUUAACCUUUCUGUGAUAUAUCUGUAUGCCUAGUAGAACACGAUUCACAGAAUAUACUUGAAUUUUGAUUUGUUUGACAUUUUAUUGGUUUCAACAUGAUUCCAUAUGUGUUAUUUUAUAGUUUUGCUGUUUCCACUAUUAUUCUACAAUGUGUAAAAUAAUAAAACUAAAUAAAUACCUUUAUGUAUAUGUGUAUUCUACA